CAGCCGGUCGGAUUCAUCUUCCCAGUCCCUCAAAACUAGCGCUGUUACUGUAGGAUCUGGACAGAGAGGCUGAGGAUCAGAAUCACAUUUUCUCCCACCGGCAGUUUGUUGAGAGCAGGGACGGCUCAGGAACAACCCUGAGUGACAGAAAGUGUUGGCCACUGGGUGUCACUAGUGUUCCACAGGAAAGUAACCCAAAGGCAUUGGUAUGGCACCCCAAAAUGAGCCACCUUCUGGAAUGUGCUAGCGGGGAUAGAAAUAGUUGCAGUAUAUCCGCUGGAAAAGAAAAAGAAUGAAAGAAAAUAUAAAUCUUUAGGCUGCUGAUGAUAAAGAACAAUCUUUAUUUGUUCCUCUCAUCAGCAUAAGGACUGUACCAGAUGUUUCAGACUGUGUAUUUCCCUCUCUCCACCACCGUCAAACCUCCUGGACUGCUUACCAUGCUCUAUUGCAGACCCAAGAAGUACUGUAGUGAUGGACAAGAAUGGAGGUUUGCAUCAUCUUGUUAUAUCGUUGUCAUUUCCAGCUACCUAUUAGGUUUAUUUCUUCAGGAUUAUUUUUCUGGAAAUGCAGUUAUUACAAGGUCCCUGCCACUCCAAGGAGUGAGAGACCAGAGCUGGUAACAGCAUGUGUAACCAUUCAUUUUGACUGACGCAAGCCACACUGGAGGUGGGUAUGACUGAGAUCUGCUCCCAUCUGAAAGCUGUUCAAGGUGGUCUGUGUGAAAUGUGGGGCUGAGGUUCUUAGCCCACCCUUAGUUAAUGUGUGCGCAUAUCACCAAACUCACCAUCAUGUUGGUAUGCGCUGGUUCUUUCAUUGGCUAUGACCCUGCAGACUGAAUGAGCUGUGGAGGCUGAGCCCUUCCCCUCACAUGUGGGAAGGGAAUCCUUCCAGGUCAGGCCAGAGCUAAGCCACAUUUACAGAACAGCAGCAUGGGGAGCUGCAGGGAGGACAGGACUUUCUCUCCCGUUACCUAUUAGGGUUGCCAGCCCUCCUGAAUUGGCUGUGAGUCUACCAGAAUUGGCAUUGAUCUCCCAGUUACUACUGAAAGCAGUCCAGAAGAGUUUAAUAAGAUAUUUUGACACUGCAUUACGUCAUGUUGGGGGAAAAUACCUCUCGGAAUAGCUUCAGUCAGAGUUGGGAACCCUAUUAUAUAUGAUUCUGUUGUGCUGUGGAUGAAAA
RNAcentral lists this long non-coding RNA (1179 nucleotides) under Crocodylus porosus (Australian saltwater crocodile). RNAcentral describes it as "lncRNA (ENSCPRG00005018051.1)". Lineage: Eukaryota; Metazoa; Chordata; Crocodylia; Crocodylidae. The record is from RNAcentral.